UUUAUCUAACCCUGACAGCUAAGCAAGAGGAAGAUGGCCAGUCCUAGGUGCUCAGUUCGUUAGGCUGUCUACAUCCCCCUCUCUAUUUCGUUAGAUUACUUUACCAGCUCAGCUAGAGGACGCUUUGGAUAUAGUCAGUGGGGAGUAAGUAUGUUAGUAUGGACCGUUGUAAACAGUACCUUUGAGAUGUUUUAUAUAAUUCCAAGUCGGAAUUAUGGUUGAUGCUAUUUAUUAAGAGUUUGUAAUAAGUUUAUAACUUAUUAUUUUGGUUAGUAGUUGUAACUUGUUUCAUACCAUCACCUGUUAAAGAUCCUUGUGGUGUAAAGGGGUUGAGUAUUUAUAUUGCUAAAUCCAGGUUGUGCAUGUUAAAGUUGAUUUGUGACUCCUCAAUCUAGACCCCGGAUUGGGAGGGCGUCACAGUUGGUAUCAGAGCUACAGGUUUUGGUCCCUGAAACAAGUUAUAAUAGGCAGGCCUUAGGAGAACCACAUAAGUUAAUUGUGCGUUCCCAACCCAUAUAGGGUUCAGUUGAGAUUAUUGGAUAUAGUCUUAACGAGUUAAGUUUAUAAGAGUAGAAUAGCGUGUCUGAGUUAGAGUCGAAGACGUUUAGAUGAGCGUCAUUGACUUGUGAUGCCAAGGCUAGGCUUAUAAGGUGUAUAAGUUGGCCAGGUGGAUGGAAUAUGUGACUUGUAGUUGUUGUAUCUCUAUACCAGUAGGAUUGGAGUUACUUGAGUUGGUGCCGAGUCAUCAAGAUGACCCAUAUUAUCCUAGAUUUGUUUUGCUGGUUGUAGUAGUUGGUUUGCAGCUGGUGACACUUAUGGAAUAUUUCUCAGUUUUUCCCCUUAUUUGAUCAUGUAGCCACAUUAUUGUGUUGUCUUUCAUUUCAAACUUGUUUUUGUAACCCUGAUUAUCGUUAUAACUACCUAUGCAUUUCUUUUCAUAACAUUGUUGCACCAUACUGUUCCUUUCACAUCAGUUUCAGAUAAUACCUAUGCUUAAUACCUAUGUUUCAGAAUAAUACCCUGAACUCUUACCUUAUGAUUUCUAUGAUAUGGCAAGCAACUUAUGUGGUAAUAGAGCUGCAUGUGCUAAAAGUUUAAAAUGUUGGAAUUAUAUAUAUAAGGUGGAUAAGAAGAGAUUGUUUUAUGAUAUAUUGCCAUGUUAGCAUGUUGCCUAAUAGUAGGUUGCUUGUCUAUUCAUCAGAAAAAUGUCAACCACACCAACAAACCCAGAUGAGGGUAAUCAGAAUCAAGGUCGGGAUCAAGAAGACCCUACCAUGACUCAAAUUCUCCGUCUUCUUCAGCUGCAAACCGCUGCUUUGAACCAGCAGCCCCAAGCUCCUCGAGUCGGAAGCUUUAAAGCUUUCCAAUCCCUCCACCCACCUGAAUUUAGGGGAACUACAGAUCCAAUUAAAGCGAAAACCUGGAUAAAGGAAACAGAAAAAAGCUUUUGCUUUAACGGAGGUGGGUGAAAAUAAGAAAACGGAAUAUGCAAGUUUCUACCUGAAAGACGAGGCAAAUUUUUGGUGGGAGUCCACCAAGACCUUAGAAGGAAAUGGUAUUAUUACGUGGGAAAGGUUUACGGAGUUAUUUUUGGAAAAGUAUCUACCUCAAUACUUACAAGAUCAGUUGGAAGUUAAGUUUUUAGAAUUGAAACAGGAAGGUAUGACUGUGGCAGAAUAUGAGGCAAAGUUUUCAGAAUUGGCAAGGUUUGUGCCAGAAUAUGUGAAUACGGAACACAAAAAGGCAAAACGGUUUCAACAAGGACUUAAGUCAUGGAUACGUAGUCGAGUGGCAGUUUUUGAGCUUCAAACAUAUGCUGCAGUGGUUCAGAAGGCUAUGAUUGUGGAAGGUGAAAGUGAGAUGUCAAAAAGAGAGAACGAUAGUAAGAAAAGAAAAUUUGAAAGGUCUGAAGAAAGUCAAGGGCAAUCAAGUGGAAAGUCUAAAGGUAAAUUCAGGAAAGGUUCUGACAACCCAACCAAUAAAGGAUUUCAAGGAUCCAAGCCCGGAAAUGUUGGACAGAGUAACCGUUUCUCCGGUCAGAAUCAGCAACAGAAAGGUAAUAGACCUCCAAGUCAGUGGGGAGUAAGUAUGAUAGUAUGGACCGUUGUAAACAGUACCUUUGAGAUGUUUUAUAUAAUUCCAAGUCGGAAUUAUGGUUGAUG
Molecule: long non-coding RNA, 2162 nt
Filed under: Daucus carota (carrot)
Lineage: Eukaryota; Viridiplantae; Streptophyta; Magnoliopsida; Apiales; Apiaceae
Description: long non-coding RNA (DCAR_LNC001813)
Source: RNAcentral